AGUGGCGGACGGGUGAGUAACACGUAAGAAUUCGCCUUUAGGAGGGGGACAACAACUGGGAACGGUUGCUAAUACCCCAUAUGCUUUCGAGUGAAAUGGAUUUUUCCGCCUAAAGAGAAGCUUGCGGCUGAUUAGCUUGUUGGUGAGGUAAUGGCUCACCAAGGCGACGAUCAGUAUCUGGUUUGAGAGGAUGAUCAGACACACUGGAACUGAGACACGGUCCAGACUCCUACGGGAGGCAGCAGUGGGGAAUUUUCCGCAAUGGGCGAAAGCCUGACGGAGCAAUCUCGCGUGAGGGAUGACGGCCUAUGGGUUGUAAACCUCUUUUUUCAGGGAGGAACAAAAUGACGUGUACCUGAAGAAUAAGCAUCGGCUAACUCCGUGCCAGCAGCCGCGGUAAGACGGAGGAUGCAAGUGUUAUCCGGAAUCACUGGGCGUAAAGCGUCUGUAGGUGGUUUAAUAAGUCAACUGUUAAAUCUUGAAGCUCAACUUCAAAAUCGCAGUCGAAACUAUUAGACUAGAGUAUAGUAGGGGUAAAGGGAAUUUCCAGUGGAGCGGUGAAAUGCGUAGAUAUUGGAAAGAACACCGAUGGCGAAGGCACUUUACUGGGCUAUUACUGACACUCAGAGACGAAAGCUAGGGUAGCAAAUGGGAUUAGAUACCCCAGUAGUCCUAGCCGUAAACAAUGGAUACUAGAUGU
RNAcentral lists this ribosomal RNA (700 nucleotides) under uncultured bacterium. RNAcentral describes it as "bacterial SSU rRNA". It matches the Rfam family "Bacterial small subunit ribosomal RNA", at positions 94 to 823 of the family's 1533-position model. The record is from RNAcentral.